Molecule: long non-coding RNA, 377 nt
Organism: Vollenhovia emeryi
Lineage: Eukaryota; Metazoa; Arthropoda; Insecta; Hymenoptera; Formicidae
Exons: 2
Source: RefSeq, a predicted model, not a curated record
AGGGCGAAUGUCAUGUGCGAUAGUAUUUGCUCUGUGCCCGGCGAGAGCGAGAAUAACUGUACUCGAGGGCAUGCCCGAAAGGUGUACUUCAUAUCGAAUUAAUUCUACCUGAGAGAACAGGAAAAUUGAUACAAUAACAAAUUAUGAUUGAAGAAUAGAUCAUUUCGUUUCGUUUAACUUUGCCAUCAAGUAAACAUUAUUUCCGUGUGUAGUUUUUAGAUGUUGAUUAAAAUUUAAGUUUCUGACUUAAUAUAAAAUAUGUACAAAAUUUGAAGUCACUAUUUUACAAAAUUCAACAGUAUAUCUCGCUUUCGUCUACCACUAACAAGUGAGUUAAAAAAUUGUAUUUUAAUUAAAGAAAUAAAUGUAGCCAAGAU